ACCGACCAGGCUAUUAGAUGUUGCUACACAGCGCUGGUCACAAUGUGCUUUGCAUUCUUUUAGCCUUCGAAUGACGCCACCCCGCUGGCUAAGCGAGCAGGCCAACAGAAGAAAGAGUGGGAGAAAAUUGUGGCGAAAGAGUACAGCAGGGAUCGCCACCACCCCCUGCCAGAGCCUCGUGGAGCUUUUUAGGUGUUUUCGCUCAAUAAACACUCACAACGCCUGGUCUGGGAAUUGAAACCGCAAUCCGACGACCGUGAGUCCAUUGCCCUUACCACUGGGCCAUUGCGCCUCCACAUAUAUCUAAUAUAGAAAACAGAAAUAUGUUUAUCUUUCUUUUAUUUGUUUCAGUCAUUGGACUGCAGCCAUGCUGGGGUACCGACUGGAAUGGGUUUUUUCCAGGGGCUCUGAAUCAUUUUUUAUCUAUGCAUCCCUUUCGUUACUAAUUUUUUUUUAAUUUGUGGAUCCCCCGACCAUAAAACAUUUAAAAACCAGUUUUUUCAGGAGGACUAGCAGUUUGCCAAUAAAUAUGAUUCUUCUCUCUCUACACCACCAGUGUUGUCCUUGUCCUUUCCCAAACUUAACCAUUGAAGCACUUGGCCUGCUUAACUAUAAUUAUAUAUAUAUAUAUAUUGGUAAAAACGGUAAGAUAACAAAAGAAAGAAAGAGACCUCAAUAUUAUGUAAAUAGAGGAAAUUUAACUGUAAAAUAAUAUGUGACAAUUAUUCAAUAGUCUAGAUAAAACUCUGAGUUUCAGAUGCCGAGGUAGAAAUGCACAACACCAUCUCUUCAGUUAUCUGGCCAUCUUUUUUUUUUCCAUAGCGUUUUUUCAGAUGGCCAGAUAAGCUAAGUUAAUUUUUUGGCUCAAAAAGCAAGGCCAUGUAGGGGGACAUGGAGUUAUGUACAGGGAGGGUGUUCAUGCAAAGAGUUCAGGCCAUUUCUUCAGAUAACCGAAGAGAUAGUGUUGUGGAUUUCCACCUCGGCAUCCGAAACUCAGAGUUUUAUCUUGGCUAUUGAAUAAUUGUCACAGAUUAUUUUAUAUAUAUAUAUAGAUAGAUAGAUAGAUGCACACACACACAGACACUAUAUUUUUAAUGUAGUGGAUUAAAAAUCAAAAACUUGAUGAUGUGAGAUUAUAUAUCAUCAUCAUCAUCGUUUAACGACCGCUUUCCAUGCUAGCAUGGGUUGGACGGUUUAACUGGGGUCUGGAGAGCCCGAAGGCUGCACCAGGCCAGUCAGAUCCUGCAGUGUUUCUAUAGCUGGAUGCCCUUCCUAACGCCAACCACUCCGAGAGUGUAGUGGGUGCAUUUUAUGUGCCACCGACACAGGUGCCAGACGAGGCUGGCAGACGGCCACGCUCGGAUGGUGUUUUUUUAUGUGCCACCGACACAGCUGCCAGACGAGGCUGGCGAACGGCCACAUAUAUAUGUAUAUAUGUAUAUAUGUAUAUAUAUAUAUAUAUAUAUAUAUGUGUGUGUGUGUGUGUGUGUGUGUGUAAAACUGCUCUUGUCCUCUCCCUCUUUGGCAUGGCUGUCCUAUCCCAACCUACAACUCCUCUGUAUGCAGUACUCAUGUCAACUUUCACUUUCACUUCUGAUGUAUAUAAACAAUCACUCCUACCCUAACACAAACUCUCUAUCUCUCUCUCUCUCCUUAUUAUCACCACUGGACUAUAUAACAAUACAACCAUCCACCUUUCUCUCUUUCUCGCUCAUUGCUAUACUACUACCUCUGCUCUCUAUGCAUGCAACCCUCUCUUUUCUAACAGCUACCCCCACCUUCUCUAAUAGUCUAUAAGCCGUAGCACAACAACCACUUCUAGCUCCAUCUCUCUUGUUGAGAUAAACUCAACCACCAGCACUACCACUUUCACUACCUCCCUCUCUCUCUCUCUCCCUCCCUCCUAUUCUAAUCUUUGUCCUCCCACUGCCUCAUUUCUUCAUAUUUGUAACAUUUAUAUAAAAAGAAACUUGCUUAAAAAUACAAUAAAACAAAUAAGAAAUUGAU
This 2007-nucleotide long non-coding RNA is filed under the name Octopus vulgaris (common octopus). Lineage: Eukaryota; Metazoa; Mollusca; Cephalopoda; Octopoda; Octopodidae. The record is from RNAcentral.